Non-coding RNA from Pan troglodytes (chimpanzee), 46 nucleotides. Lineage: Eukaryota; Metazoa; Chordata; Mammalia; Primates; Hominidae. The record is from Rfam.
UAUUAGGAUUUUUUUAAAUCCAUAAACAGACAUGAAAACAGUCACU